GACGAACGCUGGCGGCGUGCUUAACACAUGCAAGUCGAGCGGUAAGGCCCUCGGGUACGACGAGCGGCGAACGGGUGAGUAACACGUGGGUGGACCUGCCUCUAGCUCUGGGAUAAGCCUGGGAAACUGGGUCGUAAUACCGGAUAUGACUCCACGGCGCAUGUUGUGGGGUGGAAAGCCUUGUGUGGCUAGAGAUGGGCCCGCGGCCUAUCAGCUUGUUGGUGGGGUGAUGGCCUACCAAGGCGACGACGGGUAGCCGGCCUGAGAGGGCGACCGGCCACACUGGGACUGAGACACGGCCCAGACUCCUACGGGAGGGCAGCAGUGGGGAAUCUUGCGCAAUGGGCGAAAGCCUGACGCAGCGACGCCGCGUGAGGGAUGACGGCC
RNAcentral lists this ribosomal RNA (387 nucleotides) under uncultured bacterium. Its description in RNAcentral is "bacterial SSU rRNA". It matches the Rfam family "Bacterial small subunit ribosomal RNA", at positions 28 to 416 of the family's 1533-position model. The record is from RNAcentral.